This 748-nucleotide ribosomal RNA is filed under the name uncultured Bacillus sp. RNAcentral describes it as "bacterial SSU rRNA". It matches the Rfam family "Bacterial small subunit ribosomal RNA", at positions 29 to 755 of the family's 1533-position model. The record is from RNAcentral. Lineage: Bacteria; Bacillati; Bacillota; Bacilli; Caryophanales; Bacillaceae.
AUGAACGCUGGCGGCGUGCCUAAUACAUGCAAGUCGAGCGAAUGGAUUAAGAGCUUGCUCUUAUGAAGUUAGCGGCGGACGGGUGAGUAACACGUGGGUAACCUGCCCAUAAGACUGGGAUAACUCCGGGAAACCGGGGCUAAUACCGGAUAACAUUUUGAACUGCAUGGUUCGAAAUUGAAAGGCGGCUUCGGCUGUCACUUAUGGAUGGACCCGCGUCGCAUUAGCUAGUUGGUGAGGUAACGGCUCACCAAGGCAACGAUGCGUAGCCGACCUGAGAGGGUGAUCGGCCACACUGGGACUGAGACACGGCCCAGACUCCUACGGGAGGCAGCAGUAGGGAAUCUUCCGCAAUGGACGAAAGUCUGACGGAGCAACGCCGCGUGAGUGAUGAAGGCUUUCGGGUCGUAAAACUCUGUUGUUAGGGAAGAACAAGUGCUAGUUGAAUAAGCUGGCACCUUGACGGUACCUAACCAGAAAGCCACGGCUAACUACGUGCCAGCAGCCGCGGUAAUACGUAGGUGGCAAGCGUUAUCCGGAAUUAUUGGGCGUAAAGCGCGCGCAGGUGGUUUCUUAAGUCUGAUGUGAAAGCCCACGGCUCAACCGUGGAGGGUCAUUGGAAACUGGGAGACUUGAGUGCAGAAGAGGAAAGUGGAAUUCCAUGUGUAGCGGUGAAAUGCGUAGAAGAUAUGGAGGAACACCCGGUGGCGAAGGCGACUUUCUGGUCUGUAACUGACACUGAGGCGCG